GGCGAGAUAGCUCAGCUGGCUAGAGCACACGGUUCAUACCCGUGGUGUCGGGGGUUCAAGUCCCUUUCUCGCUA
Molecule: transfer RNA, 74 nt
Filed under: Lachnospiraceae bacterium
Lineage: Bacteria; Bacillati; Bacillota; Clostridia; Lachnospirales; Lachnospiraceae
Also listed under: 1 other name
Description: tRNA-Met
Rfam family: tRNA
About the family: Transfer RNA (tRNA) molecules are approximately 80 nucleotides in length. Their secondary structure includes four short double-helical elements and three loops (D, anti-codon, and T loops).
Source: RNAcentral